Molecule: ribosomal RNA, 347 nt
Filed under: uncultured bacterium
Lineage: Bacteria
Description: bacterial SSU rRNA
Rfam family: Bacterial small subunit ribosomal RNA
Source: RNAcentral
UGGGGAAUAUUGGACAAUGGGCGCAAGCCUGAUCCAGCCAUGCCGCGUGAGUGACGAAGGUCUUCGGAUUGUAAAACUCUUUUGGCGGGGACGAUAAUGACGGUACCCGCAGAAUAAGCCCCGGCUAACUUCGUGCCAGCAGUCGCGGUAAUACGAAGGGGGCUAGCGUUGUUCGGAAUCACUGGGCGUAAAGCGCACGUAGGCGGAUGUGCCAGUCAGGGGUGAAAUCCCGGAGCUCAACUCCGGAACUGCCUCUGAUACUGCACGUCUUGAGUUCGAGAGAGGUGGGUGGAAUUCCUAGUGUAGAGGUGAAAUUCGUAGAUAUUAGGAAGAACACCGGUGGCGAA